This 446-nucleotide ribosomal RNA is filed under the name uncultured bacterium. RNAcentral's name for it is "bacterial SSU rRNA". It matches the Rfam family "Bacterial small subunit ribosomal RNA", at positions 30 to 504 of the family's 1533-position model. The record is from RNAcentral.
UGAACGCUAGCGGGAUGCCUUACACAUGCAAGUCGAACGAGAUUGCUGAGAAGCUUGCUUUUUAGUAAUUUAGUGGCAAACGGGUGAGUAACACGUGGGAAUCUGCCUAUCAGUACGGAAUAACACCUGGAAACAGAUGCUAAUACCGUAUAUUCUCUACGGAGGAAAGAUUUAUCGCUGAUAGAUGAGCCCGCGUCAGAUUAGGUAGUUGGUAGGGUAAUGGCCUACCAAGCCUACGAUCUGUAGCUGGUCUGAGAGGAUGAUCAGCCACACUGGGACUGAGACACGGCCCAGACUCCUACGGGAGGCAGCAGUGGGGAAUAUUGGACAAUGGGCGAAAGCCUGAUCCAGCAAUACCGCGUGAAUGAUGAAGGCCUUAGGGUUGUAAAGUUCUUUUAGUAGGGAAGAUAAUGACGGUACCUACAGAAAAAGCCCCGGCUAACUCC